This is a long non-coding RNA of Bos taurus (domestic cattle), 1241 nucleotides long. The record is from Ensembl. Lineage: Eukaryota; Metazoa; Chordata; Mammalia; Artiodactyla; Bovidae.
GUGACCCGAGGAAAGAGCGUUUGCAGAGACACCUGCCUCACAGCCUCCUGACCUCGGACAGUGUUUAUCCCCAGGCUGAGGCCUCCCUUAUCUCUCAGGGGUGCACGGUGGCCUCUCAAGAGUUAACUUAUUAACUCGACCUGUGACUUCAUCCGGGACGCCAAGGACUCAUGAGGCUCCGGUGGGCGUGAGGCUUCGAGUUCGGAACAUCCAGGAAGGCCAAACAGAUGGUAGAAGAAGUUGUCCUGUUCUUUCUCGUCUGAUGCCGUGAGUGAUCGAGUUGUAACUGAAAGGCACUCAACAGUUCCUCUCUCCUUUCUCCACUGGAUGCUAAGUGGUCUCGCCAAUCACAGAGCAAGCGUGUGGUUUGCUGUCCCCUGCAGCAUUCUCUCGCUCACUCAGCUGGAGGUCUGAGAGCAGAGGAGUCACUCCCUGCAGUUGUGAUAGCUAACCAUAGACCCAAGGCCACCCAGUCCCAGAACAUCCGCCUCCACCCACUUGUGAUUUUCCCUACGUCAAAAUGGACCCAUUAGGACUUCCCCGGUGGUACAGAGGAUAGGAGUCUGCCUGCUAAUGCAGGGGACCCAGGUUCAAUCCCUGGUCUGGGAAGAUUCCACAUGCCUUGGAGCAACUACUGAGCCCAAGUGCUGUAACUCCUGAAGUUCGUGCGCCUAGAGCCCGUGCUCCACAGCAAGAGGAGCCACUGCAGCGAGAAGCCCACGCACCUCCAAAGCCAGAGGGAUCCCGCACGCAGCAGAGAGGACCCAGUGAAGCCAAAAAUAAAAGAACUUUUUUAAAAACAUGGACCCCUUAGGGUUGUCCUGUCCAAUGCAUAGCCACUAGCCACACGUGGCUAUUCACAUGGAAUCAAAUGAUAUGAAAUUUGAAAUCCAGCUCGUCAGUCACUCUAGAUGCACGUUGUGUGCCCAGGGCGGCUGCUGUAAUGGCCAGUGCGGAUACAGGACCCUUGUGUCGUCACAGAAAGUUCUCCUGAACCAUACUGCUUCAGAGAUUAGCCAGCCAGGGGCUUCAUCAGUGCUGAAUUUUAAGAAACUGAGACUCAUAAAGGUUGAAUGACUUUCCCAAGGAGAUCCAAGAAUUUAUAAAAAAUAUAUAUUUUGGCUGUUUUAGAAUCCUGAGGAUGUCCUUUAUUUCAGUCUUGAUUUUUGAACGAAUUUUCUGUAUCAUAUGCAUAUUUGACUUUUAAUUGAGACUCAAACUGUAGAAGUACUUUGAAAAGU